Molecule: ribosomal RNA, 423 nt
Filed under: uncultured bacterium
Lineage: Bacteria
Description: bacterial SSU rRNA
Rfam family: Bacterial small subunit ribosomal RNA
Source: RNAcentral
UAAGGAAUAUUGGACAAUGGGCGCAAGCCUGAUCCAGCCAUGCCGCGUGCAGGAUGAAGGAGCUAUGCUUUGUAAACUGCUUUUGUUUGGGAAUAAACCCUUCUACGUGUAGAGGGCUGAAUGUACCAAAAGAAUAAGGGACGGCUAACUUCGUGCCAGCAGCCGCGGUAAUACGAAGGUCCCAAGCGUUAUCCGGAUUUAUUGGGUUUAAAGGGUGCGUAGGCGGGUUAUUAAGUCAGUGGUGAAAGCCUACAGCUUAACUGUAGAACUGCCAUUGAUACUGAUGAUCUUGAGUAUGAUUGAGGUAGGCGGAAUGUGUCAUGUAGCGGUGAAAUGCUUAGAUAUGACACAGAACACCGAUUGCGAAGGCAGCUUACUAAGUCAUAACUGACGCUGAUGCACGAAAGCGUGGGGAGCAAACAG